AAGUACUUUAAAUGAGUGCUAAGAGAAUGGUUGAACAAUUAUAGGCUUUCUUUAAUUAAUAAAUUGAAGUUAAUUUUUUUUGUGAAGAAGCAAAAAUGAAUAUUAGGGACAAGAAGACCCUAUGAAUUUUAAAAUUAAAAAGAAGAUUUAUAAAUAACUUUUUAAUUUUAAUUGGGGUGAUGAGAAAAGAAUAGUUAUCUUUUUUUAUGAGUUAAUUUGACCCAUUGAUAAUGAUUAAAUGAUUAAAAUACUCUAGGGAUAACAGCGUAAUAAUUUUGGAUAGUUCAUAUAGAUAAAAUAGUUUGCGACCUCGAUGUUGGAUUAGGAUACUUUAUUGGUGGAGAAAUUAAUAUAAGAAGUUUGUUCAACUUUUAAAAUCCUACUUGAUCUGAGUUCAGACCGGA
RNAcentral lists this ribosomal RNA (404 nucleotides) under Ixodes ovatus. RNAcentral's name for it is "partial large subunit ribosomal RNA". The stretch from base 258 to 404 matches the Rfam family "Bacterial large subunit ribosomal RNA", at positions 2473 to 2620 of the family's 2925-position model. The record is from RNAcentral. Lineage: Eukaryota; Metazoa; Arthropoda; Arachnida; Ixodida; Ixodidae.